GGCCGGUUAGCUCAGUCAGUUGAGUGUGGUGCUAAGAAUGCCAAGGUCGAGGGUUCGAUUCCCGUUCGGUCC
Apaloderma vittatum (bar-tailed trogon) is the source of this 72-nucleotide non-coding RNA. NCBI's taxonomy places the organism in Eukaryota, Metazoa, Chordata, Aves, Trogoniformes, Trogonidae. The record is from Rfam.